Molecule: ribosomal RNA, 1163 nt
Filed under: Fibrobacterota bacterium
Lineage: Bacteria; Pseudomonadati; Fibrobacterota
Description: bacterial SSU rRNA
Rfam family: Bacterial small subunit ribosomal RNA
Source: RNAcentral
AGUUAUCGUUUAGAGAUGGACUUGCGCCUCAUUAGCUAGUUGGUAGGGUAAUGGCCUACCAAGGCUUUGAUGGGUAGCCGGCCUGAGAGGGUGUACGGCCACAUUGGGACUGAGAUACGGCCCAGACUCCUACGGGAGGCAGCAGUAGGGAAUUUUGCGCAAUGGACGAAAGUCUGACGCAGCAACGCCGCGUGAGUGAUGAAGGUCUUCGGAUUGUAAAGCUCUGUUGAGUGGGAAGAAAAGUUUCGGGAAUAACACCUCGAGACCUGACGGUACCACUUGAGGAAGCCCCGGCUAACUACGUGCCAGCAGCCGCGGUAAUACGUAGGGGGCAAGCGUUGUUCGGAAUCACUGGGCGUAAAGGGAGCGUAGGCGGAGGAAUAAGUUAGAAGUUUAAUGUACGGGCUUAACCCGUAAUCUGCUUCUAAUACUGUUCUUCUUGAGUAUGGGAGAGGGAGAUGGAAUUCCAGGUGUAGCGGUGGAAUGCGUAGAUAUCUGGAAGAACACCAGCUGCGAAGGCGGUCUCCUGGCCCAAUACUGACGCUGAGGCUCGAAAGCUAGGGGAGCAAACAGGAUUAGAUACCCUGGUAGUCCUAGCCGUAAACGAUGGACACUAGAUGCUGGAGGAGUCAAUCCUUUCGGUGUCGUAGCUAACGCGUUAAGUGUCCCGCCUGGGGAGUACGCUCGCAAGGGUGAAACUCAAAGGAAUUGACGGGGGCCCGCACAAGCGGUGGANNUGUUGGGUUAAGUCCCGCAACGAGCGCAACCCCCGUCCUUAGUUGCCAUCAGGUCAAGCUGGGAACUCUAGGGAUACUGCCUGGUUUAACCAGGAGGAAGGUGGGGAUGACGUCAAGUCAUCAUGGCUCUUACGUCCAGGGCCAGACACGUGCUACAAUGGUCGGUACAGAGGGUCGCAAAACCGCAAGGUCAAGCUAAUCCCACAAAACCGAUCUCAGUUAGGAUUGGAGUCUGCAAUUCGACUCCAUGAAUUUGGAAUCGCUAGUAAUCGCGGAUCAGAACGCCGCGGUGAAUACGUUCCCGGGCCUUGUACACACCGCCCGUCAAGCCAUGAAAGAUGGGAGUACCCAAAGUCGUUCAUCCAACCGCAAGGGGGAGGACGCCUAAGGUAAGACCAUUGAUUGGGGCUAAGUCGUAACAAGGUA